GUGCUAGGGAUAUGGUAGAGUGCUUGCCUAGUAUGCAUGAGGUCCUGGGUUCAAACCCCAGCACCACA
RNAcentral lists this transfer RNA (68 nucleotides) under Marmota monax (woodchuck). Its description in RNAcentral is "tRNA.Thr". Lineage: Eukaryota; Metazoa; Chordata; Mammalia; Rodentia; Sciuridae. The record is from RNAcentral.